This 387-nucleotide unclassified non-coding RNA is filed under the name soil metagenome. Its description in RNAcentral is "partial contains 5.8S ribosomal RNA, internal transcribed spacer 2, and large subunit ribosomal RNA". The stretch from base 1 to 120 matches the Rfam family "5.8S ribosomal RNA", at positions 35 to 154 of the family's 154-position model. The record is from RNAcentral.
GAUGAAGAACGUGGCGAAAUGCGAUAAGUAAUGUGAAUUGCAGAAUUCAGUGAAUCAUCGAAUCUUUGAACGCACCUUGCGCUCCUUGGUAUUCCGAGGAGCAUGCCUGUUUGAGUGUCAUGAAAUUCUCAACCUUUUCAGCUUUCUUUGUUGAUCAGGCUUGGAUGUGGGAGUAUGCGGGCUUCUCAGAAGUCGGCUCUCCUGAAAUGCAUUAGCGGGACCUUUGUUGCCUGGCUUUGGUGUGAUAAUUAUCUACGCCAUUGUAGUCAAGCAGCUUAAAAUGAGGUUUCAGCUUCUAACCGUCUCCCCUGAGACAACUUUUUGACAAUUUGACCUCAAAUCAGGUAGGACUACCCGCUGAACUUAAGCAUAUCAAUAAGCGGAGGA